RNAcentral lists this transfer RNA (70 nucleotides) under Marmota monax (woodchuck). RNAcentral describes it as "tRNA.Val". The record is from RNAcentral. Lineage: Eukaryota; Metazoa; Chordata; Mammalia; Rodentia; Sciuridae.
AUGUGGCUCAAGUGGUAACAUGUUCGCCUAACAUGCGUGAGGCACUGGGUUCGAUUCUCAGCACCACAUA